This 247-nucleotide long non-coding RNA is filed under the name Nicotiana benthamiana. Its description in RNAcentral is "long non-coding RNA (NBEN_LNC039500)". The record is from RNAcentral. Lineage: Eukaryota; Viridiplantae; Streptophyta; Magnoliopsida; Solanales; Solanaceae.
AAAAAGUAAAAGAACACACAUUCAAUGAAAAAAGGAACGAAAAUAGGAUUCUCUCUUGAUCUUAUUGAAAAAGAUGAGCUGCAACAUGUACAAAGAAAGAGUGAGAAAAAGGUUUCAAAUUCCUUUUUUUUAGUUUUAUCUGAAACGGCACAUACACACGAGCACAGAGGAAACGUUGAGGAAUUUUGAGGGACAGAAGUUCGGCCAAUUUUCUAUUUUGAUCUCGGCUGACGGAGUUUGAUUGAGG